Molecule: ribosomal RNA, 505 nt
Filed under: uncultured bacterium
Lineage: Bacteria
Description: partial 16S ribosomal RNA
Rfam family: Bacterial small subunit ribosomal RNA
Source: RNAcentral
GACGAACGCUGGCGGCGUGCCUAAUACAUGCAAGUCGAACGCACAGUUUAUACCGUAGCUUGCUACACCAUAGACUGUGAGUUGCGAACGGGUGAGUAACGCGUGGGUAACCUGCCUGGUAGCGGGGGAUAACUAUUGGAAACGAUAGCUAAUACCGCAUAAUAUUAAUUAUUGCAUGAUAAUUAAUUGAAAGGUGCAAUUGCACCACUACCAGAUGGACCUGCGUUGUAUUAGCUAGUAGGUGAGGUAACGGCUCACCUAGGCGACGAUACAUAGCCGACCUGAGAGGGUGAGCGGCCACACUGGGACUGGGACACGGCCCAGACUCCUACGGGAGGCAGCAGUAGGGAAUCUUCGGCAAUGGACGAAAGUCUGACCGAGCAACGCCGCGGGAGUGAAGAAGGUUGUCGGAUCGGAAAGCUCGGUUGUAAGGGAAGAACGGGUGUGAGAGUGGAAAGUUCACACUGUGACGGUAUCUUACCAGAAAGGGACGGCUAACUACGUG